RNA transcript from Enhydra lutris kenyoni (northern sea otter), 537 nucleotides. It is a transcript of the gene named kinesin-like protein KIF22 pseudogene, with no coding region annotated. The transcript has a single exon. The record is from RefSeq and is a predicted model, not a curated record. Lineage: Eukaryota; Metazoa; Chordata; Mammalia; Carnivora; Mustelidae.
AACCGCACAGUCACUGUAGCAAAGCCCCUCAAAAAGGCUGUGGUGAUGCCCUUACAACUGAUUCAGGAGCAGGCAGCAUCCCCAAAUGCUGAGAUCCACAUCCUGAAGAAGAAAGGCCGGAAGAGAAAGCUGGAGUCCCUGGAUGCUUCAGAGUCAGAGGAGAAGGCUGAGGACUGCUGGGAGCUACAGAUCAGCCCAGAGCUACUGGCUCAUGGGCGCCAAAAAAUAUUAGAUCUGCUGAAUGAAGGCUCUGCCCGGGAUCUGCGCAGCCUGCAGCGCAUUGGCCAAAAGAAGGCCCAGCUCAUCGUGGGCUGGAGGGAGCUCCAUGGCCCCUUCAGCCAGGUGGAGGACCUGGAACUCGUGGAGGGCAUAUCCGGGAAACAGAUGGAGUCAUUCCUGAAGGCGAACAUCUUGGGUCUCACCGCGAGCCAGCGCUGAGGCCCCUCCUGACUGCCAGCUCCUUUCCUUCCUGUGCCAUGUUUUUGUUUUGUUCUUUAAAUCCUCAUAUAAUUGCGUGUCAUGUAAAUACAAUUUUUA